RNAcentral lists this ribosomal RNA (960 nucleotides) under Staphylococcus saprophyticus. Its description in RNAcentral is "bacterial SSU rRNA". It matches the Rfam family "Bacterial small subunit ribosomal RNA", at positions 29 to 964 of the family's 1533-position model. Lineage: Bacteria; Bacillati; Bacillota; Bacilli; Caryophanales; Staphylococcaceae. The record is from RNAcentral.
GNGAACGCUGGCGGCGUGCCUAAUACAUGCAAGUCGAGCGAACAGAUAAGGAGCUUGCUCCUUUGACGUUAGCGGCGGACGGGUGAGUAACACGUGGGUAACCUACCUAUAAGACUGGGAUAACUUCGGGAAACCGGAGCUAAUACCGGAUAACAUUUGGAACCGCAUGGUUCUAAAGUGAAAGAUGGUUUUGCUAUCACUUAUAGAUGGACCCGCGCCGUAUUAGCUAGUUGGUAAGGUAACGGCUUACCAAGGCGACGAUACGUAGCCGACCUGAGAGGGUGAUCGGCCACACUGGAACUGAGACACGGUCCAGACUCCUACGGGAGGCAGCAGUAGGGAAUCUUCCGCAAUGGGCGAAAGCCUGACGGAGCAACGCCGCGUGAGUGAUGAAGGGUUUCGGCUCGUAAAACUCUGUUAUUAGGGAAGAACAAACGUGUAAGUAACUGUGCACGUCUUGACGGUACCUAAUCAGAAAGCCACGGCUAACUACGUGCCAGCAGCCGCGGUAAUACGUAGGUGGCAAGCGUUAUCCGGAAUUAUUGGGCGUAAAGCGCGCGUAGGCGGUUUCUUAAGUCUGAUGUGAAAGCCCACGGCUCAACCGUGGAGGGUCAUUGGAAACUGGGAAACUUGAGUGCAGAAGAGGAAAGUGGAAUUCCAUGUGUAGCGGUGAAAUGCGCAGAGAUAUGGAGGAACACCAGUGGCGAAGGCGACUUUUCUGGUCUGUAACUGACGCUGAUGUGCGAAAGCGUGGGGAUCAAACAGGAUUAGAUACCCUGGUAGUCCACGCCGUAAACGAUGAGUGCUAAGUGUUAGGGGGUUUUCCGCCCCUUAGUGCUGCAGCUAACGCAUUAAGCACUCCGCCUGGGGAGUACCACCGCAAGGUUGAAACUUCAAAGGAAUUGACGGGGACCCGCACAAGCGGGGGGAGCAUGUGGUUUAAUUUCGAAGCCAACGCGC